GAUGAACGCUGGCGGCGUGCCUAAUACAUGCAAGUCGAGCGAACAGACGAUGAGCUUGCUCCUCUGACGUUAGCGGCUGACGGGUGAGUAACACGUGGAUAACCUACCUCUAUGACUUGGAUAACUUCGUGAAACCGGAGCUACUACCGGAUAAUAUAUUGAACCGCAUGGUUCAAUAGUGAAAGACGGUUUUGCUGUCACUUAUAGAUGGAUCCGCGCCGCAUUAGCUAGUUGGUAAGGUAACGGCUUACCAAGGCGACGAUGCGUAGCCGACCUGAGAGGGUGAUCGGCCACACUGGAACUGAGACACGGUCCAGACUCCUACGGGAGGCAGCAGUAGGGAAUCUUCCACAAUGGGCGAAAGCCUGACGGAGCAACGCCGCGUGAGUGAUGAAGGUCUUCGGAUCGUAAAACUCUGUUAUUAGGGAAGAACAAAUGUGUAAGUAACUAUGCACGUCUUGACGGUACCUAAUCAGAAAGCCACGGCUAACUACGUG
This 497-nucleotide ribosomal RNA is filed under the name uncultured bacterium. RNAcentral describes it as "partial 16S ribosomal RNA". It matches the Rfam family "Bacterial small subunit ribosomal RNA", at positions 28 to 507 of the family's 1533-position model. The record is from RNAcentral.